Molecule: ribosomal RNA, 1003 nt
Filed under: Chattonella subsalsa
Lineage: Eukaryota; Raphidophyceae; Chattonellales; Chattonellaceae
Description: partial Bacterial small subunit ribosomal RNA
Rfam family: Bacterial small subunit ribosomal RNA
Source: RNAcentral
UGAGACACGGCCCAGACUCCUACGGGAGGCAGCAGUGGGGAAUAUUGCACAAUGGGCGGAAGCCUGAUGCAGCGACGCCGCGUGAGGGAUGACGGCCUUCGGGUUGUAAACCUCUUUCAGUAGGGAAGAAGCGAGAGUGACGGUACCUGCAGAAGAAGCGCCGGCUAACUACGUGCCAGCAGCCGCGGUAAUACGUAGGGCGCAAGCGUUGUCCGGAAUUAUUGGGCGUAAAGAGCUCGUAGGCGGUUUGUCGCGUCUGCUGUGAAAGCCCGGGGCUCAACCCCGGGUCUGCAGUGGGUACGGGCAGACUAGAGUGCAGUAGGGGAGACUGGAAUUCCUGGUGUAGCGGUGAAAUGCGCAGAUAUCAGGAGGAACACCGAUGGCGAAGGCAGGUCUCUGGGCUGUUACUGACGCUGAGGAGCGAAAGCAUGGGGAGCGAACAGGAUUAGAUACCCUGGUAGUCCAUGCCGUAAACGUUGGGCACUAGGUGUGGGGGACAUUCCACGUUUUCCGCGCCGUAGCUAACGCAUUAAGUGCCCCGCCUGGGGAGUACGGCCGCAAGGCUAAAACUCAAAGGAAUUGACGGGGGCCCGCACAAGCGGCGGAGCAUGCGGAUUAAUUCGAUGCAACGCGAAGAACCUUACCAAGGCUUGACAUUCACCGGACCGCCCCAGAGAUGGGGUUUCCCUUCGGGGCUGGUGGACAGGUGGUGCAUGGUUGUCGUCAGCUCGUGUCGUGAGAUGUUGGGUUAAGUCCCGCAACGAGCGCAACCCCUAUCCUUAGUUGCCAGCAUUUGGUUGGGCACUCUAAGGAGACUGCCGGUGACAAACCGGAGGAAGGUGGGGAUGACGUCAAAUCAUCAUGCCCCUUAUGAUUUGGGCUACACACGUGCUACAAUGGACAAUACAAAGGGUAGCGAAACCGCGAGGUCAAGCAAAUCCCAUAAAGUUGUUCUCAGUUCGGAUUGUAGUCUGCAACUCGACUAUAUGAAGCUGGAAUCGCU